CAUGCUUUACUCAUGCAAGUCGAACGGCAGCGUGGUAGUGCUUGCACUACUGACGGCGAGUGGCGAACGGGUGAGUAAUGCAUCGGAAUGUACCGAGUAAUGGGGGAUAACUGAUCGAAAGAUUAGCUAAUACCGCAUACGACCUACGGGUGAAAGCAGGGGAUCGCAAGACCUUGCGUUAUUCGAGCAGCCGAUGUCGGAUUAGGUAGUUGGUGGGGUAAAGGCCUACCAAGCCGACGAUCCGUAGCGGGUCUGAGAGGAUGAUCCGCCACAUUGGGACUGAGACACGGCCCAAACUCCUACGGGAGGCAGCAGUGGGGAAUUUUGGACAAUGGGGGCAACCCUGAUCCAGCCAUGCCGCGUGUCUGAAGAAGGCCUUCGGGUUGUAAAGGACUUUUGUACGGGAAGAAAAGGGAAGUGAUAAUACCACUUUCUGCUGACGGUACCGUAAGAAUAAGCACCGGCUAACUACGUGCCAGCAGCCGCGGUAAUACGUAGGGUGCGAGCGUUAAUCGGAAUUACUGGGCGUAAAGCGAGCGCAGACGGUUGAUUAAGCCAGAUGUGAAAUCCCCGAGCUUAACUUGGGACGUGCAUUUGGAACUGGUCGGCUAGAGUGUGUCAGAGGGAGGUAGAAUUCCACGUGUAGCAGUGAAAUGCGUAGAGAUGUGGAGGAAUACCGAUGGCGAAGGCAGCCUCCUGGGAUAACACUGACGUUCAUGCUCGAAGCGUGGGUAGCAACAGGAUAGAUACCCUGCUAGUCACCGCCUAACGAUGACAUAGCUGUUGGUUUGAAUCUUAUACCUACUACGCUGAA
RNAcentral lists this ribosomal RNA (814 nucleotides) under uncultured rumen bacterium. RNAcentral describes it as "bacterial SSU rRNA". It matches the Rfam family "Bacterial small subunit ribosomal RNA", at positions 43 to 853 of the family's 1533-position model. The record is from RNAcentral.